This 253-nucleotide ribosomal RNA is filed under the name uncultured Coprococcus sp. RNAcentral's name for it is "partial 16S ribosomal RNA". It matches the Rfam family "Bacterial small subunit ribosomal RNA", at positions 524 to 776 of the family's 1533-position model. Lineage: Bacteria; Bacillati; Bacillota; Clostridia; Lachnospirales; Lachnospiraceae. The record is from RNAcentral.
UACGUAGGGGGCAAGCGUUAUCCGGAUUUACUGGGUGUAAAGGGAGCGUAGGCGGCAGUGCAAGUCAGAAGUGAAAGCCCGGGGCUCAACUCCGGGACUGCUUUUGAAACUGUACAGCUUGAUUGCAGGAGAGGCAAGUGGAAUUCCUAGUGUAGCGGUGAAAUGCGUAGAUAUUAGGAGGAACACCAGUGGCGAAGGCGGCUUACCAAGCUACUUCUGACGUUGAGGCACGAAAGCGUGGGGAGCAAACAGG